UAGAGUUUGAUCCUGGCUCAGAUUGAACGCUGGCGGCAGGCUUAACACAUGCAAGUCGAGCGGUAACAGGAGAAGCUUGCUUCUCGCUGACGAGCGGCGGACGGGUGAGUAAUACUUAGGAAUCUACCUAGUAGUGGGGGAUAGCUCGGGGAAACUCGAAUUAAUACCGCAUACGACCUACGGGAGAAAGGGGGCAACUUGUUGCUCUCGCUAUUAGAUGAGCCUAAGUCGGAUUAGCUAGAUGGUGGGGUAAAGGCCUACCAUGGCGACGAUCUGUAGCUGGUCUGAGAGGAUGAUCAGCCACACCGGGACUGAGACACGGCCCGGACUCCUACGGGAGGCAGCAGUGGGGAAUAUUGGACAAUGGGGGCAACCCUGAUCCAGCCAUGCCGCGUGUGUGAAGAAGGCCUUUUGGUUGUAAAGCACUUUAAGCAGUGAAGAAGACUCCAUGGUUAAUACCCAUGGACGAUGACAUUAGCUGCAGAAUAAGCACCGGCUAACUCUGUGCCAGCAGCCGCGGUAAUACAGAGGGUGCAAGCGUUAAUCGGAAUUACUGGGCGUAAAGCGAGCGUAGGUGGCUUGAUAAGUCAGAUGUGAAAGCCCCGGGCUCAACCUGGGAACGGCAUCUGAUACUGUUAGGCU
Molecule: ribosomal RNA, 642 nt
Filed under: uncultured bacterium
Lineage: Bacteria
Description: bacterial SSU rRNA
Rfam family: Bacterial small subunit ribosomal RNA
Source: RNAcentral